This 773-nucleotide ribosomal RNA is filed under the name uncultured Neocallimastigales. RNAcentral's name for it is "partial large subunit ribosomal RNA". It matches the Rfam family "Eukaryotic large subunit ribosomal RNA", at positions 26 to 627 of the family's 3401-position model. The record is from RNAcentral. Lineage: Eukaryota; Fungi; Neocallimastigomycota; Neocallimastigomycetes; Neocallimastigales.
CGUCUAUAUACGUAUAGCAUAUCAAUAAGCGGAGGAAAAGAAACUAACUAGGAUUCCCUUAGUAACGGCGAGUGAAGCGGGAAGAGCUCAAAUUUGAAAUCUUCAAGGUUUACCUUGACGAAUUGUAGUUUAAAGAAGUGUUUUCUGUUGGAGUUUUGGUAAAAGUUCUUUGGAAUAGGACAUCAUAGAGGGUGAGAAUCCCGUAUUUGACCAUUAUUUCCAACUUUGUGAUACACUUUCAAAGAGUCGGAUUGUUUGGGAAUGCAGUCCAAAAUGGGUGGUAAAUUUCAUCUAAAGCUAAAUACUGGCGAGAGACCGAUAGCGAACAAGUACCGUGAGGGAAAGAUGAAAAGAACUUUGAAAAGAGAGUUAAACAGUACGUGAAAUUGUCAAAAGGGAAGCGUUUGACACCAGUGUUGUUUUCUCGAAAAUCAAUUAAAAAAGAUUGGAUUUUGUGUUGUAUUGACUUUAUCAGCUUUCUGCACUCUUUUCUUGUCUUUUUUAAUGCACUUUUCGUUUAACAAGUCAACAUCAAUUUCUUUUGUUGUAAAAGGGUCAUUGGAAGGUGGCUUUCUUUUCGGAGAAAGUGUUUAUAGCCUUUGACUUCUGCAAUCGGAGAGAUUGAGGUCUGCAGCGUAGAUCCUUCGGGGUUAGAUGCAUUUGUGCUAAGUUAUAGCCUUUCAUAGACAACUUGUUGACUAUGAUCAGUCAUGUAGCUUACUCGCUUAUGUUAUUUUACCUACGCUUAGGAUGUUGACGAUCAGCUGAGCGCG